This is a long non-coding RNA of Alligator mississippiensis (American alligator), 13762 nucleotides long. RefSeq lists it as uncharacterized. The record is from RefSeq and is a predicted model, not a curated record. Lineage: Eukaryota; Metazoa; Chordata; Crocodylia; Alligatoridae. The transcript has 2 exons.
UCCAGUUCUAGCUGGUAUCCACGGCGCACAGGGGUCUCACCCCGCUCCGUGGAGCACUGCAAAGGACGGGGCCUCCUCUCCUCCCUUCCCACCUACAGACUCAUCACCGUCCCGCUGCUGUCCCCUGGACAGCUUCUCUCCCUUCCUACCUGUACACCUGUAGCCAAACACAGCCCCCGGCCUUGGGCCCUCAUUGACCAUGCAGCUGGGAGCCCCUGCUCAGUAGCCGUUCCCUCGGAUGGAGCUGAAGGAGGAAAGAGCUCAGAGGUUACUCCGGUUUGGGACACAGAGGCUAAAUUCCUUGCUCAGCCACAGAAUUCCUGCAUGCCCUGGGGCAAGUCACUUAGCCAGUCUGUAAAAUGGGGGCAAUAGCCUCCACCAGGCUGCCGCGAGGCACUCAGAAACCAUCCGGGGGGCUCUGUCAGGGCUGUAAGGGCAAAGGCCUGCCCUGAGAGAACAACAUCUGGCCAUGCAGUGUCCUCCUGAGUCUGCCUCAGGUCUGGCAGGGCACAGCCCCAUAGAGUUGACCCAUGUUCUCAGCUGUGCUCCCCACUUGUGUGGAGCGGCGUGUCUGUCCGCCCUACUGGGAUGUUUAAUCAACUGGCCUAUCCCUUCCAGUGUGUCCCUAACGAUUGUCUUGGGAAUGGGCUGUUAGUCAUUUAGCGCUAAGUCGGGACCUAAGCAGAAGCUACAAAAGUCUUCAGGCAGUGCCCGUACAGGUCGGAUAGUGCCCGGUCUCUACCCGGCUGUGAUUUCCCAUGAGCUCCUCCCAGCUGACAACCGGAGCAACACGGGGUGAAUUCGGCCCACACGUGUUAAGUUACAAAAAGCAGAUGAACUGCACCGCUGGGCUCCGGAGAGAGAGGAGCAGAGUGCAAAUAUAAGUAAAACUCAUCUUCCACCACCAACAGGCUUAUCUGGAGACUGAGACCAUCUAGAUGAGUUUUUGCCUCUUCCUUCGAAUCCUGUUCUCUCUUUAAAGCUUUCUGCAUUUUUACCUCUUCAGUACCACAGAUUUUGGUGGAGAAGCCCAUAAAAGUCUCACUCGCUCUGUAUAAAAUGAGGCAGGAGUAUCAGUCUUUGCAGAACUGGGACACUUUUAGGUGCCUUAAACUGUCCUCCUAGUUUCCAGAGCACUUGGUAGAGCUGCUCGCCAGGAAGGUGAAAGAGGGUCUCCCUCAAAAACCAGGUUGCAAGCAGGGACCCCUUUAUCAGUGCGUCUCGUAGAAUAACUGAAGACAAUUACUCUCUCCCCAUUUGGGGCUGGGAUUUCAAAGACAGAGCAGGGGACAGUGGUUUCCCCUUGUGUCCAGAGAGGUUUGGGACAGUAGACACUGUCUGCCUCUCCCCUGAGCAGCUCCCCUGGGCUGAUGGAAACACAUGGUGGCUUUCUCUUGGGACAACACUGGUGCUUGCAGGGCUGAUGCUCAGAGGGCAAGCAGUGAUUUCCAGGAGAGGUCGUAUUGGCUCCACAGCUCAAAUUAGCAAAUGCUUCUCUGUUGUUAGUGUUAACGAGGGUCUGCCCACAUGGGAUGCCAGUUAACUGAUUUGCAAAGGAUCUCAGAGCCCAGCGCCCAUAUUGCUUUAGUUUGGCUGACUCUGUCCAAUAAGAAGGGGAGAGGCUGAGGAUAGUGGUAAAGCGGCUUCUGGCAAUGCAAACCCUACCACGGGAUUGUUCAGAUUCCUUAUAAUCAUGCUCAUACGAGCCAUCGAAGCCUUUUCUGUUCAUGGGCUCUUGCAGCUGUAGCUGUAGUAACCGGAGUUGUAGAAGAGGGGCACUUCCCAUGCAGAAAAACACUGCCCAACGUGGUCAUACUUUACCGCUAUCGCUGAUGUUGCUGUACCAGUCGGUUUGCCUGGCUCAUUUUCCGCCCCCAUGUUAUUUGAACUAAGCCCUGAAGAAGCAUCUGGAUAUAAUUGGAUGGGGACUCACUCAGAAAGCUCCAGCCUGCUGCCGAUGCUCAGAUCUGGCAGUGCUGGCACAGCUGUCAAAUAAGGGAUGAAGAAAGAUCAACCCCCUGCCCGCAUCUUGAUGCAGCUGGACUUUGGCUGGCUGUUUCUAUCGUCCAGGGAGAUGAGUUAGCCACGGCAGUGGAGAACCGUCCUGCUGCCAGCUCUGCAAUAGAGACAAGCCCUUUCAAGAGCAGUACUUCCUGGCACCGUCGCAGUAACCUUGAAUCUGUAGCACUUGCUCCUGGUCCUUAGCCUUGCGUUUUAAUGUCUCCUGUGCCGCCCCAGGAACCAGAACGGUUCUUCCCUGGGUUUUCAGUAUGCUUUGUGCUCCCCUGGGUUGGUGACCCCUGGGUAAGAGCUCUCGACUUUGCAUUUGAUGGUGUAGUUUGCUCUCGUCUGUUGUAGUUAGAUACAGGCACAAAAACUCAUUGGGGAGCUGGGUUGUUUCACACUUUGACACCGAGUCAUUGUGCAGCCUUGGGGAAGGCACGUCACCUCUUUGCAGCUCUGUCGCACAAGACCGCAUCCAUAUAACCAUGCUGCUUGGCCGUGGCCUUGCAAGCACUUGAAGGUCCCUCAAUAACAUGAGUGAGUGCAAACCAAACCGGUUAUUUUGUAGUUAAAAAUCUCCCCAUUCCCCCUGCAGAAAAUAAGCUUCAAAGCUGUCUUGGGUAGCACAAGCCAAAAGCUUGGCAGUUUCAAGUGUCCCCCAUGAGGGUCUUUUAGCGGUUUCAAGAUUGCUCAGGGGACACUUGACAGUCAGCUGACUUGGCCAUGAGAGAAGCUAGGAGUAGAAGAGCAGGAGUAGAUGUGGGGCACAUUGGUUGAGCUGCGUGUGGGAAACAUAAACCGUAUCUGCCAACAAACCUUGGCCUCAGCUAUUGGUAUACAUUUAUGAGCGCUCAAAUCCCACCCCCACUUUCCUCCCCAAAAGUUGGCUUAAAGGAAAAGGAGGCAGAUCCUGCAGGCAGAUCCCUCUGUACAUAAUGAGCAAACUUGAAUUACUCCCUGCAGUCUUUUCUUCUACACAAGCCUCAUAAUGCCAUAAGUCUUUACGUUUCCUGGCACCGAGCACAACUGAAGCACGAGCUCCAGCAGAAGUUUCAAAUUUGAAGCUGUUCUCUUCGGCUUCGAAGUCUCCGAUUGUAGCUGAGAGAUGCAAUUCAGCUGUUUGCGCAGAAACCUGCCACAGCAGUGCAGUGCCUGCCCCAGCUGCAAAUUCAUAGCUCUGGUGGUUGUGCCCGCUAUGUUUUCCCGUCUUGGGAACGCUGCAUUUUACUUCCCGCUUCUUUGCUCUUUGAAAGCAUUUCCGUCCUUCCAUGGUCUUUGCUUGAUGCCUUCCUCCUUUGCUUUUAUUCUCUUUGGAGGUGUUGAGUAUUCAGAUGAAUCGGAGCACCAGCUAGUGCACUGAAAAGCAAAAUAAGGGCUGCUAGCCUGUUCUGUGGUGGAUUGUGACCUGUGGGCCCCUUCCCUUACCUCCCCUGUCAUUUUUCAUACUAAAAGCUCUGCCAAAACUCAGCAACUCUCCAGUAAGAACAUCCUCCACCUUGCCCGUGAGGCUCUCAGAUCACACAACUAAGCCGGUCGCACAGCACCCUCCCAUGGGAAAAGCCCACAUUCUUUUCCCAUGUUUUCCAGAUGAAGAAACUGAUGCCUGGAGAUGGUAACAGAUGCACCCGUUCAACACAGUCGAUCAGUAGCAGGGCUAGAAACACAAGCCCACUGUUUCCUGACUUGCGGUCCUCCGCUCUCACCAGCAGACACCACUUCCUCCCUUCCAGGAAGGAUGAUACAUCUCUUCUUGGGCAAUAUCAGAGCAAGGUUUGCUGUCAAAAGAUCAAAGAAGGACCUCGAGCAACUGUGCUAAUUUUUGAGGGCCACAUCCUGAUAUGCUUAUUCACAGCAAUAGUGCUUUAUUCCUUGAAUGGUCUUGCUGUAGUCCCCCGGAGCCAGACCUUCAAAGGCAUUUAGGCACCUACAGUCACCAUGGUCCUGUGGUUUCACUGGGAAGCAGGUGCCUAGAUGGCUUUGAGGAAAGGGCCUGAGGCAGUCAUGGAGCGAAAUGCAGCCCCCCGGCGAGUGGAGCUCUGAAUCCAUAAGUGAGCUGCGUGUCCUGCCCAGCACAUCCUGCAACCCUCUGCCAGUUUGACUUUCUUUAUAAAACCAGCACAGAACCACAUGGGGUUUAAAUCACAGGAGAAAGAACGGACUCCAAGAAGGAGGCCCGCUCUUGACACUGUGCGGGACAAGCACACUGCUUGGCUGGCUCUCACCCUCGAAUGCAAGCCUGGCUGACAUCGGUCUGCCCUUGCAGAGCACAAGCUCCUGGCUCUGUUCCCAAGGUGCGCUUGGCAAUGAAUGGAUGCUCUUGGCAGGUAUCACUCCUCAACAGCAGAAGAAAAGCAGGGAAGGAAAGCUACUGCUGCCUGGUUUCCAUGUGGCAGGCUGACCCCAUGCCCCCGUCCCACCUGGUACGAGAAAUUUCUCUCCAAAAGAAGUUGUGUAGCUCAACCCGUGGAUCUUGUUUUCCUGCACUGCAUGCUGUGCUAAUUAGCAGAGCUCUAGGGCUGCAUGGCUGUAGUGUGGUGAUGCUGGUACGGCAGCCCGAUCCUUCAGCCAGGCAUUGUGCUAAGCAGGAAAGAAGAAAUGACAUCACUUCACCGAAGAUUUGGAAAUGACAUCACUUUGCUGAAGAUUUGGAAAUGGCAUCACUUUGCCAAAGAUGUUUUGAUCCUGAGCUUUCAGCUUCUGGUUCAUGGGCAGACCGGGGCAGCGCAUGGAGAUGUGCACACAGGUGCUUCAAUCAACCUACAGCCAAGAAAAAGCAGGAUCAAAGCCUGACAGGCAAGAGGAAGAGGGUGGCUGAGACUUAUUAUUAAGGAAUGAAGAGGAGGACUGACUCACUGAUACCCCACCCAUGGGAGUCAAAGAUCAGUGCGUUAAGGAUCUUCUCUUAAAUGACGUGCAUGCAAUAUGCAGCAUGUGAUAGCUGCAGCACAGAUACUGCUGGAGAUACUGAGUGGUGUGAGACAUCAUCACACCAGGUUUCCAUCUCAUCGGCUCUGGCCGCAAAGGCCUAACAAGACAAGUUCAGCUCCAACGAUAAGUUCACUGGGGAGAAGGACUUGACAAUAAGCAGUGCUUUCAUGAGCCCAACCCUCCUCCGGUGUCAGUCUGUGCCCUUGCUCAAGGACUUUCUUUGCGCUCUUCUAACCUCAUGGGUAACGUCCAACAUCAAGGGUAAAGGACUCGGUGCAAUUAUCUUGAGGCCCAACUUAUUUCACAGAGCAAAUCAAAAACAAUAAAAGCAUUUAGGCCAGACUUUUCCAAAGGACUCAACACCCACAACUCAGGCCAGCUUUUGAAAAAAAAGCCCAAGGCAUUCAAUGCUGCGGACAAUAGUUACACUUAUAAAAAUAUUGUAUAAAUAUAGCUGCUGUUGGAUUUUGCUCUGACUGGGCUGGCAAGAGUCGCCAAGCUGUGCCUGCUUCUCUCCCAGAGGCCUGAGGAAGGGUACUGUGAGACCCAGAAGCUUGCCCGCAUCAACCCCAACCAUGCAGUUGGUCCAGUAAGAGAGAUCACCCACAAGGAUACUUGCAUCUCACAUAUCUCCGGGAUUGUAAUGGCGACAACAUCACUUCAAUGCUACCAGCUUCUCCUAAGGCACUGGAAGACUUCAUUUGCAUUGCUAAAAGAUAGGGUGAUCUUUGCAAGCUUUGGGCCAAUUUAUGGUUAGCUCCAGGUCUGUAAAUGAGGCAGUCCCUAGCCUCCUCCUACCCCAGCACACAAAGCAGGAAGCAACCAUAACCUGACGGACAAGCGCAAGCUGCCUAGUACUAUGUCCAGAGCUCCCGAGGGAAUUUUUAAGUGCCAAGGACAGGACAUGGCCCCAGCUGAUCAGCACUAGCAGGGCUUCACAGGGGGAGGAACAAUGGCUACAUCAUUUUUAAAGGUAGGGCAAAAGCCUCCUGCCCCAGUGAGCAGAAGGCUUCAUCCAUAAAGACGAUGCCUCCAUCUACAACACCCGCUGCAGGCCCUGUUCUCCAUCCAUCGCCUCUCCAGAGUUAUAAUCCAUCUAGUGCACAAAUGACAUGUUCCUCAGUCAGGAAUUUUCUGGGAAGUAUUUUGACUUCCUUUUGCAUACAGUAGACACGCCAGGCCAAGCCUUGCUCCCGUUCCAGCCAGUGGCACAACUCCCAUUGGCCUGAAUGGAAACAAUAUGGAGCUUAUGGAGGAUGACAGUCGAAUGCACAUUAACGGCCCUCACAAUAACUCAAUGAGAGCAGGCGGAAAGCAGAGCUCACUUGCAUGUUAGAUUUGCCUCUUCCAAAUACCUCCUUGCCACAGCAAUCUUUAACAUAUGCAAUCAAAACUGCUCUUCACUUGGACCUUGGCCAUAGGAUGCACAGGACACCUCUUAAAACUCUUGGAGCACAUCGGAUAGGAAACAAUAUGUGCUGGCAGUGCUUAAAAGCCCCAGUAACAAGGAUUGCAAACACAUGCUUAAGAAAUUCAAGAAAUGAUCGACUUGUUCUGAAUGUGAUUCAACCUGGGUUUGCUCCCAAGAACAUUCCUCAUCUUCAGAACAUGCCGCUUGCUCCUAAAGUCGAAAAAACCUAGAGCUUCCUAGUAGCAGUGAUUAAAAGUAUAAAGUCUGGUCUUUUUCCAAGACAAAUUUCCUAUACGUACAGGGCUGUCACCUGAGCGAUGGUCCAGGAUUUGGCAUCAUCCCUGAAAAACGUGAAAUUUGAAGUUAAAAAAAAAUAAUCUUCAUUUUAUGAUUUGCUUUGUCAAAUGAAGAAGUCUGUUUUUCUUCUAACCCAUUCAAGCCACCACUGACACUGAUGCCAGACACCCCAGCCAAGGAUGCAACUGGGUAAUGUGCCAAGAGACAGAGAAAAAAGUCACCAUCCCACACCAGAGAAGACAGUCGUGACACUCAGUAGGCUAGCAGUCCCCCAGAUGAGGGCUUGUGAGCCUAACUGCAGCCGUGGCACUUGGUAAGUGGAGUGUUCAGUCACAAUUUUAGUAGUUAAAUUUGGAGUGGCAGUGAGAUCAGCAUGGGAAAUGGUUGGGGAGAGCUGCAUUAGACAGUCCAUGCAAAAAAGAGAAAAGUAAAAAGAUGCAAAACCAGUAAAAAAAAGUAGAGGUGCCCUUGCUGUGGGUGAGCACCCCAAGUGCAGUAGUUGAUUCGACAGUGAGACAACCCUUUGCAAACUUUCCCUUUAAACCCACACACUCUCUAUUAUCUACACAGACCAUGGAAAGAGAGACUCUGAGCCUCGGGGAUAUUUAGCUAGUAACAUGAGGUUAAAGUGAUCUCUCUGUGGUUUCUUCAGCUCUGCAUUUUGUGCUUACCCCAUGGGAGGGCUGAGAUCAUUGCAACUUCAACUAACUCUAACUCACCCAUCGAAUACGUGCAGGAGGCAGGGUGGAGAUGCACCAUCAAAGACGUGUCUUGUGAGAUACAAGAGAUGGCUUAGAUUAGCUAUACUCAUUGCACACACAGCCCCUGAUUCUAAUCUGCUUUACCACAGUGUAAAGUAGACAUCACUUAAUCCAGUGGAGUUACAUCAGUGUAAAACAUAGACUUUGUGACUCAUAUAGUAGUGUGCAUGUAGCAAAUUAUGUAAUACCUUGCACAAUUCUGCACGUACGUUUCCUAAUUUCCUUUACGUGAGUGCUUUCAUCAAGAAAAUCUCGCUUCCAUUGGUAUUCUGCGAUGAAGAGUUAAGGUCAUCUGAGGCAUAAUAUUUCCACACUUCACAUCUGCACAGCACUCCCAAACAGCCAGCAUGCAGAUGCCUGCAAAAACCGUACAUAAAAAGAAACAUAUUGUAACUGAUGCUCAUGUGUUGACAACUGGAAUUUAUACAGUGUCUUGCAUGGAUUUUCUUAUACAGGUUCCCCUCGCUUUAUGCUGUACGUGCGUUCCUGGAAAACAGCACAUAACUCGAAUUCGCAUAAAGGGAACCCACUUUACACUGUAACAAAUAGGGAUACACUCCAAGACCUCGACUGUACUGACCCCCUUGACUGUCGUGCCACUCCCGGGGCAGCUACAGCUCCAGAAGCAGGGACACCAGCUGCCCUGAGUGGGCCUGAGCUGGGCGGCUUCAUGGCUCAUAGCUCCUGGGGCGCUACGCUGACCACCACCUGGCUCAGCCCCCCCCCAAAUCAUUUUUUCAUCCUCUAUGUAUGGCCUAACUCUCACAACACACCGCACAAAGCAGCUGACUGGGCUUCCACUACACUGAUUGCAUAAGAGUGAAUUUACCUCGCAGAUAACGAAUUUUUGGUAUAAAAAGGGUCAUUGCAUAAGAGCGAAUUUGCACAUACAGAACCUGCAUAAAGUGAGGGAAACCUGUAUAAGUUGUGCCGGUGAGGAUUGCAUUUCAUUUUUUUUUCUCGUGAAUGCUAAAGGCAAUGCCCUGUCCCAGCAAUUAGUCCUCACAUUUCUUGCAAGCAUCAUGGCAGAAGCGGGUGUUCAUGAAGAAUGAAGAAGAAAUCAGUAGCCUUGCAAACUGGCAUGUGAUGACCAGGCAAAGUGCCUGCUCUUUUGCCACCCACAAAAGUUGCAAAGUCCUUUUGAUCCUUUGUAUCAGAGGGAUCCAGAUACCAUAGGGUUGUGUAUUAAAUAUUAAAACCUAUUUCAGUUAAAGCGGUAAGCUAUUUGUUUCAUGAAAGCUGUUCUGUGCCUGAGUCAGGCCUGCUUUGUAGUUAAAAGACAAAACCCAGCAUGUAUUUAAUUAACCUACAUAUUGCUUUGAAUUAGAACUAUGUAAGAUGUUAAUGCUUAUGCGGUUUGGGGUUUUUUUUUCCUCCUUAUCAUUUAUUGAAUGUUCCCCAUUCUGCAUUUUUCUUGUUAAUAAUCCACAUGGCCAACUGAGGCAAGGAAACAGGUCAUUGAUUUCACCGUUCCUUGCUUUUAUUAAUCCCAAAUCACAGAUCAAGUCAGAAGUAAUUGUAGCCCAGAUGAUUUAUGGCUUCCAAUAUUUAGUUGGACUAGCACUGGAUAGGCAGCUAAUGUCGUGUGCCAGCCAGAACAGCUGUAGCCCAAACCUUAGCUCGAGCUCCAAUGAGCAAAGUGAGUCUGGAAGUGUAAAACAGCCCCAGGAGCUUUCAUGGAUGGGUGAGUUAAUUGAAUGCCAAUACAAUAGUGACAGGUGCCGCUUUUUUCAGGUUGCACACAAGUUAUUCGUUUUCCAACUGUAGAAAACAGAGGAUCACUCUGUGAUUUAAAACCCAGGUGACAGAUUUUUAUUCCAUAGCUUAGAAAGCUGUAUGACGAGAAAGAAGAAAGAAUACAAAUGAAAUGAAAACACCUCCGCAGUGAGCUUGAAAGGGAACAAGAAGUGAGGGAAAGCCAUUCUGGCCCCAUCCCAGAAAAGGCAGCAAACCCGUGAUCCAAACGCCCCGGUCUUUCGAAGUUUGGAUCUGGGUUUAUGGGACUUCAGCUUCAGCCCAUUGUCUCCUUGUUUCCUCGUAGUGCCCUUGUUGUCUCUAGCCGCCUGUUGUCUCAUGUCUAACGCUCAAACUGGAAGGUCUUUGGGGCAGGGGCUAUCAUCUUCAUGGGGGCCAUGAUGGGGCUUCUGAAUACCAUUGCAAUACGCAUAAUUAAGAAUGCAAUUAGAAAAAGACCAUUAACCACGGUGGGAAACCUGGGCUGAUUGCUCUCUUUCUGGCUAAGGCCAGAGCAAGAUUAUUCCCUAGCAUAUGCACAUUUUUCCUAAUGCUUUAGUUCAAGCUAGAAUUUAAGUGAGCUUAAGGGUCCCCAACCAGCAUGCAAACACGGUGGGUUCAUCCUGGAGCCAAUCUUGUGAGGUGCUGGGUGCCAACGGCUAUUCCUGGGGACGGUGACUAUGUGAAGAGCUUAGCACCUGACAAGACGGGUUCUCCUGUGAGACUAGAAAACUCGAUGGGUCUUAUCCUCCACAUGCAGCUCAAAGAUCAGAAGAGCAAAUUCCACUGAUGUGCGUUGGCCGUCAGGCCCCUCUUACCACCACCGCCUUGUUGUUACGCCAGAGUCAGAGCGAACAAAUGGAUCUGCUCCUGCUUGUCUAUGCAUCGGGUUAAAGCAGAAGGGACUCCCCCAAAACCGGGGGAGCUGCCGUGCGCUGCACCUGGCGUGACAGCAGUCAGGCCUCACAUCUUUUCAUGACAGUUCCCAUCCAGUUCCCAAACAGCCUUUCUGUUGUUUGUGGCUUUGCCGCUCUCAGCAGAGAUCUGCUGACAACAAAAAUAUCCCAGUUAUUUGGAAUUAUGAUAUCACCCUUGCUUUGGCCUGGCGCCGACAGAGACUCUUAUACAAUGGACAGUUGUUUCUCAUUAAGAACGACCGUAUUCUUUGCACUGACAAACAGUUUACACUAACAUUAGCUUCAGCCUGAUUAGUCCAUUGGAAAGCAAUAAUGUUUGCAUUAACAAAGCUGCUUAGCAGAUGCUCUGCUCAGUUCACUUGGGGUCUGAUUACACAAUGACCUACACGCCAGGAGUUCAUGUCCUGCCAUGUUUUAAUCCUUCAAACCUUCUUAGACCAAACACAGUGGGAAGGGACUGGGAUUGGAAGGAAAAGGAGAACGGCUUGUCCUGUGGGGCCGCUCAGCUCUUCUGCUGAGGACUGAAAAACAUUCAGGAGGGGGACAGGGUAUGGGCAAAGGCUGCAAGAGAGCAGCAGGAGGCUGUGCUCCUCCUAUUGGGAAUGGUGAGAGCUUUGGGGAGUGCCACCAUUUACUUAAAUCUGAAAGGAAAGGAAAGGAAAGGAAAGGAAAGGAAAGGCAUUGUCUUCACGCUGCCCUGUCAGCGAACAGGUGCUAUAGCCACGUCCCCUUGGAGCUCGCUAGUGCAGCUGGCUGGGAUACUUGUUCGACCUGCAUGCUCUCGGAGGAGUCUCCUCGUCUUCUCCGCAGAUGUGCAAGGGGACGGGCGAGGGCUUGCAGAGCUGAGCCAGGACAGCUCCUCAAUACAAGUCCUGAGACUGUAGAGCCUUCAGUCACAGGCCUAGGGCCAAAAAAUGAGCCCAUUGCCAUAUACUCUAUUCGUUAGGCUUAACAGCUUAAAAAGAAGGAAGAUGAACUCCCUGACUCAAGCUCUAAAGCCCGUGUAAUCUGGGAUGCCACAAACAGGCAAUUACAGUGGUCCCUUUUGGCUUUAACCUCUAGGAAUGUAUGGCUGCAGGCCUGGAUACUCAACAUAUUUACAGCAGGGUAUAUUAUAUUGGAUUUGUACAUCGUUUUUUUAAACCAUAGCGGAAUCAGGAGCAGGCAGACAAGCGUAUCCGGGGAUAGUUUCUUGCAGGUAUCGUUACACCGCCUUGAUGCUUGGUGGCAGGGGAGUAGGUCAUGCCAGUUUGCCCAUAGCAAAUGGUGACUCUGGCAUGGCUGUGGAUUCCUGACACAUCAGGCUAGCUUAGACCAGAGGAGAUUUAUUCCCAGGUUAAUUCAAAAAGCAAUAUACCAGUGUAGGGCUGUGCCCCCAGCGUCAUACUGGGAGAAGAGCUGAUUCCCUUGGGAUAAUCAUGUCCUGUGAUUCAGGACAUGCUGAAGCCCAGAAUGACACAUUAGGGCUGUACUUGAGCAGCUGACGGGCUUCAUUAAUGGGCAAUGCUUGGCCAACACUGGAGGUAUCUAAGGUUGUAAGGCUGCACUUUUCCAUCCUACCUCUAUUCACAUCAGUGCCUUGUGGCUGGAUGACUGUAAUGACCCAUUUCUGAGCAUGUAUCAGACCUGGGACACUGGUGGGUUUGUAGGGAAUUUUAAUUAAAUAAGCAGAGGAUGGAGGAGUGAGGCGAGAUAAAUUCCAGCCGCUGGCAGAAGGGUGAAUCAAAGAGGGGCCCCUUUGUAUUUUGACACCACUAGUAAAAGUCUAGUCAGCUACUAACCGGGUUAACCAAUGAGGCCCAGUGCUCUCCUGACCUCAACAAGAGAUUGGAACAAAUGCACCAAAAGGCUUCACACUGUAGCAUUUCUAUGGUGCUAAAAACUGUUCCUGGUUUAAGUACCUACUAGGUGGAGUAGGGUAGGAUCCAUCUCUAAAUAUUUCCAGUUAUGAUCUGGGCAACGCCAUGAUCCGGGCAAUGCCUUGGCUAUUGCAAAGGGAGCUGAUAGUUGUUCUAUUCACAGGUACCUGAGCUGCUUUGCAAAAGUCUGUUCUGCUGGUGGCCUUUUCAAGUAUAAUGAAUGCAUUUGGAAGCAUUAACUGUGAAAUUAUCCAGCCCUGCUGGGGACAGAUUUCUCAUUUAACUGAUUACGAUAUUUUAGAGUAAAAUUGAUAGUCUGGAGUUCCCGGCAGUAAAGUCAGGGCAAGACUCCCAGAGGGAAACAAUGGCUUAAUUUCACUGAUAUCCAGGGCUCAUAUAAUAUACUGCUGCUGCUCACAUUUUAGAGUAAGCUACAAAGAACAUUGUGAAGCCCCUGGGGUCAAAAACUCACCAUAAUUUAAAGCUGUAAUUUCUCUCAGGGAACGUGAUCCUUUUUUGCAAUUUAGAUUUAUUAUAGCUGAGCUGCUGUGAAGGUGCAGCUGGAAAGGAGCCUUCCAAGCUGAAGCAUCCGGCAUGAACGCAGCUGCAACAGAGCAGCAAUGGGGAGAGAUGCCUGAAUCUCAGAAAAUGUCCCCGGUGCCUACUGUGUUUGCAGGCUCCAUUAUUCCCAGUGGAUCAUAUGGCCAUGCAGACCCUUUCACACAGGGACGUGGUCCAUACAGAGCAUGGGUAAGGCACAUGGAAGAGAUGAGAAGCUGCCCCAGCACUAGCUGUGAUGUUUUUAUUAUGCACAAAUGCAACCCCUGCGUACAACAGCAAAAAUGACUUUGCGGAAAGCCUUUUGUGUUUGACCAGCACACAGAGAGGGCGCCAAGCCUACUGGAUAAUUCGGAAGCCUGAGAAGCUGAAUUUGUUCCUCGGCUCUGUGGCACAAUUGCAGAGAGGCCUGACCUCUCCAGGCCUCUGCUUUUCCAGAAGGAAAAUGGCCAAAGUACUUGUCUAGCACAGAGGCAGUGCGAGGCACAUGCAUUAAUAUGUGUGCAAUCCUUUGGAAGGGGCCCGAAGCACAGGGACUUGUAUGGCAAUCACAUAGAGGUAAGGGAACUUCUCCUGUCAUCCAUUUGCCAUGAACGAGUCCAGAAGUGUUUCCUGCAACAUCUUUAAAAAAAUAAUAAUACCAGAACUGUUUUAACACUCCACACAAGGCAGGAUGGAGGCACUAAAAGGCUCGGCAGGUGGAGGUGCUAAAAGAAAGGAAAAGAUUAAGUGAAUAGGUCCUUUCUUCACUUCCUUCCACCUUUUGACAUGGUCUGGUGAUGCUCUUCUGCUCUUUGUCUUGCAUGCGGAGGCCUAUAUACUCUGACACAUCUCUAAACCAUCUGCAUUGCCUUAUGGGCUUGGACAAGUUCGUGAAUGGCAAGCAGGUAGGUAGAGCUUGUUUCUCAGAGGUGGCCUUUUUUGGACAAGCGGAAAGUCAGUUGAUAAUAUCAGAAGCCCCAGAGACCAUGAUACGCGGCUGAGGGUUUGUCAAUCCAAGGUGGUUUAACUCAUGUUAAUUAGGACUGACAUUCGUUCAAGGUAGACAACAUGCUUGAACGUGCCAGGCUGCACACUCCACAAACAUUUGUUCCCGGACACAAAGACUUGCAGUUUAGCCAGUAAAGGAAAUAAUCCUGGAACCAAAUGUCUGCGGAGUAUCCUGCCAUGCAGAUGUAUGGACAAGCGUGGAUUAUUGGCAAUCAGUCCACUCCAGGUGACUAGUCUUGUAUUGACCGGCUCUGACAGGAGUUUUACUAUUAAUUAAAAUUGACAAGAAUUGUCAUUCUCAUG